This 353-nucleotide ribosomal RNA is filed under the name uncultured bacterium. Its description in RNAcentral is "bacterial SSU rRNA". It matches the Rfam family "Bacterial small subunit ribosomal RNA", at positions 917 to 1269 of the family's 1533-position model. The record is from RNAcentral.
GGGCCCGCACAAGCGGUGGAGUAUGUGGUUUAAUUCGAUGCAACGCGAAGAACCUUACCAGGGUUUGACAUCCUGCGAAUCUCUUGGAAACGAGAGAGUGCCUUCGGGAGCGCAGUGACAGGUGGUGCAUGGCUGUCGUCAGCUCGUGUCGUGAGAUGUUGGGUUAAGUCCCGCAACGAGCGCAACCCACGUCUUUAGUUGCCAGCAGGUUAAGCUGGGCACUCUAGAGAAACUGCCCGUGAUAAGCGGGAGGAAGGUGUGGAUGACGUCAAGUCAUCAUGCCCCUUACAUCCUGGGCUACACACGUACUACAAUGCUACGGACAAAGGGCAGCAAACUCGCGAGAGCUAGCA